Vespula pensylvanica (western yellowjacket) is the source of this 905-nucleotide long non-coding RNA. RefSeq lists it as uncharacterized. Lineage: Eukaryota; Metazoa; Arthropoda; Insecta; Hymenoptera; Vespidae. The transcript is spliced from 2 exons. The record is from RefSeq and is a predicted model, not a curated record.
AUCUUCCAUUUUUUUAUUUUCUUUUUUCUUUUUCUUUUAUUUUUUUUCUAUUUCACAUCGAGGAUACAAAGAACGAGAUGCAUGAAAGAUUCCUUUCAACGAUGCUUCGUUCAAUUUCACGGUGGCUUCGACUCGCGAAAUAUUCGAGCUUUCACCGAACGAAACCCCUUUCUCAACGUCGAAGAUGUCGAAUAUAAUAUUCGUUUAGCUUUUCGCGAAGGGGUCAUCAUCACGUUGGCGGAGGUUAAUGUCACGGUGGUUUUCUGCGAUAUUCCAUUAAGAGGACGCCUCUCGCGUUAUCGUUCUAUUAAGCUGCCUCUUCUAUCGUGCCCUCUGACGCUCGCGAAAAGUGGUUACAAGGAGUGGGGAGAGAGCUACAGAGAGAGAGAGAGAGAGAGAGAGAGAGAGAGAGAGAGAGAGAGAGAGAGAGAGAGAGAGAGAUAGAGAGAAAGAGCUUAAUUGAUCUUAAUUUUCAAUAUUAACGUCGAUGAUGAUGGAUCGAUGACUUUCGUAAAAGCUCCAAAGUGGCCUAGUUAAGAGAGCGUGAAAUUCUUUUUUUCUUUUUUUCGUUGUACAUCGAUCGUUAGCCCUUUUUCAAAUCGAAUUCACAUCGACGAUCAAAGACGAUCAUAAAAAUUCGAAAGAGCUUGCCGCGUAAGUCGUGUAAGUAUUUGAGCAUUUAAUAAACUUCCUUACUAAUUUCUAUGGCUAUAUCCGAAACAAGGAGAGUAGUGUACGUGCCAUCGUAGUGUUUAGUCGGCGUGUUCGCGAAACGAUUCGAUUAAAGCAUCCGCUGCUUUUCGCCGGGUCCUCGUAAAUACACCGUAAUUAAAUUCCUUUUAUAGCCGGUCUAAAAUCGUGUUUCCAUUUUACAUACCUACUACUACACUACUACUACUACUACG